CGAACGCUGGCGGCGUGCCUAACACAUGCAAGUCGAGCGCGAAAAGGGCAACCUGAGUAGAGCGGCGCACGGGUGCGUAACACGUGGGUAAUCUGCCUUGGAGCUUGGGAUAACCUUCCGAAAGGUUGGCUAAUACCAGAUAAGCUCACGGUCUCUUUGGAGAUUGUGGGGAAAAGUAGGCCACUGUUUACAAGCUUACACUUCAAGAUGAGCCCGCGGCCCAUCAGCUAGUUGGCGGGGUAACGGCCCACCAAGGCUACGACGGGUAGCUGGUCUGAGAGGACGAUCAGCCACACUGGAACUGAGACACGGUCCAGACUCCUACGGGAGGCAGCAGUGGGGAAUUUUCCACAAUGGGCGAAAGCCUGAUGGAGCAACGCCGCGUGUGUGAUGAAGGUUUUCGGACUGUAAAGCACUUUCGACCGGGACGAAAAAACGGAGGCUAACAUCCUCCGUCCUGACGGUACCGGGAGAAGAAGCACCGGCUAACUCUGUGCCAGCAGCCGCGGUAAUACAGAGGGUGCAAGCGUUG
Molecule: ribosomal RNA, 532 nt
Filed under: uncultured bacterium
Lineage: Bacteria
Description: bacterial SSU rRNA
Rfam family: Bacterial small subunit ribosomal RNA
Source: RNAcentral